Molecule: ribosomal RNA, 445 nt
Filed under: uncultured bacterium
Lineage: Bacteria
Description: partial 16S ribosomal RNA
Rfam family: Bacterial small subunit ribosomal RNA
Source: RNAcentral
GUGAGGAAUAUUGGUCAAUGGACGGAAGUCUGAACCAGCCAUGCCGCGUGCAGGAAUAAGGUCCUAUGGAUUGUAAACUGCUUUUAUUCGGGAAUAAACCUCUUUACGUGUAGGGAGCUGAAGGUACCGAAGGAAUAAGCACCGGCUAACUCCGUGCCAGCAGCCGCGGUAAUACGGAGGGUGCAAGCGUUAUCCGGAAUCAUUGGGUUUAAAGGGUCCGCAGGCGGGCUAUCAAGUCAGAGGUGAAAUCCCACAGCUUAACUGUGGAACUGCCUUUGAAACUGAUGGUCUUGAAUUAAGUGGGCGUUGGCGGAAUAUGACAUGUAGCGGUGAAAUGCAUAGAUAUGUCAUGGAACACCGAAAGCGAAGGCAGCUAACGAUACUUAUAUUGACGCUCAUGGACGAAAGUGUGGGGAUCGAACAGGAUUAGAUACCCGGGUAGUCC